Molecule: long non-coding RNA, 1734 nt
Organism: Delphinapterus leucas (beluga whale)
Lineage: Eukaryota; Metazoa; Chordata; Mammalia; Artiodactyla; Monodontidae
Source: RefSeq, a predicted model, not a curated record
CAGCUAGAGAAAGCCCGUGCGCAGCAGCAAAGACCCAACACAGCCAAAAUAAAUAAAAUAAAAUAAAUUAAUUAAAAAAAUAAAAUAGAGUGGUUCAAGAAAGGACCUUAAGAGUCGCCCAUCAGAUUUGAAAUUCUGUGCAGUAAAGCGGUUCAAGAAAGGACCUUAAGAGUUGCCCAUCAGAUUUGAAAUUCUGUGUGCGAACUGUUUCCCGAGGACAGCUGAAAGGAAGGUGAAGUCUUGGCAUCUCCUCUUCGAAGCUCAGGAUUGAGUUGGCUGCAAGAGAAGUUUACAAGAGAACCUAAAGAUGGAAAUGAAGCAACCUAAGACACUCUGAAGGCGUAGGGUACCAGGUGCCACUGCAGUUCACGCGUUCAGUUACUGAUCUGCUGGCUCAACUCCUUGGCAUGGACAGCCAGGCCUACAGCUCCCUCAGCUUCUCUUUGUGCGAAGGGCACCAGCUGCUUCUGCAGGCCACCUGCCACUGAAGUAUGAGGUGAUGAGAGGAAGACAGAGGCUUCAGUCUAUCUUCGUAAGCUGCAGUUUGUCCUUACUCUUCCCCAACUUCGUGUAAUGUACUUCUUCCUGACUGCUGCCAAUUUGAGCUGAAAUGGCCUCCACCCCAUCACACAGAGAGGCAAGAGCCUUCCAUAGACUUCCUCACUACAAAUGUGUAAGGUCUAAUAUCCAUAAGAAAUCCAUAUUCCCAUGAUCUAUCCCUAACUGAUGCAAGGGAUUAAGGUGUCAUCCCGAAAAUGUAGAUACCGUUGAGAGGAGUGACUCCAGUGAGCUAGUGUUGGCCAUUUGGAUUUUAAUGUGAAUUAGCCCAUCAGCUUCAUUUAUCUAUGACUCUGCUAGUGUCUAAUGCACCUCAGAAGACAGAGUCCUAGGUAUUGGGUAACAGCCAGCUGAGUAUAAGGCAGAGAGGAUGGUGAAGAACAAAGUACAGAUAAUGUGAAGCUCACAGUGGUUCUGGGUUUACUGUGGAAGGUACAUGGCAUAGGAAUUUCUCUGGGGGUUAUAAUAACGCUGAGGGGAGAAGUUCACUGCUCAACAUGAACGGUACUGACAUCACAGUUUUCUGCAUAAUCAUCUGUCCUUAUGGUACAAGUAAUGCUGUGGGGCAGAGAGGCAGCACCUGUAUGCUGACAGCGCCCCUAGUGAAGAGGAGGAGAACUUACACACAGGUCACAGCACUGCCUCUGAGACCUCACUCCUACCCAACUACCUACACUUCCGCAAGUCCACUUAAUUCCAGAAAAAGUUAAAAUCUCUUUCUGACCUUGAGGAUGACAAUAAUUCAGAUUUCUUCUUGCUAUUUAGAGGUUUGGUGGGGCUAGGGAUUUGAGUGUGAAGGGAAAUUAGAAAAGCAAAACUUAAUUCAUCUUUCUGGGGGAAUUUUCUAACUUUAAAUUUUAAAAUUAAGUAUUUUUAUUCAAUUAAUAUACAGUCAUUAUAGAAAAGUCAGAUAAAAUGCAUCAGCAAAAAGAAGAACGUUACAAAUCAUCUAAUUUCAUAAUCUGGAGGUGACCGUUUUUACCACUGAGGUGUAGAAACACAGUUCUAAGAAAGCAGCAUGAAGAAUGGAAAAUGCAUCGAUGGAAGUCAGAAAUCUGCCUUCUCACUCCAGUUCCCCUUGAUUUGCUGCAUGUCAUACCCCUCAUCUAAAAAAAGCUGAGUGUUGAACUUAACUUUCUAUUAAAGUGAAAAUAAAAGGGCAUGAAUAUGGUUGCA